This 848-nucleotide long non-coding RNA is filed under the name Salmo trutta (river trout). Its description in RNAcentral is "lncRNA (ENSSTUG00000048947.1)". Lineage: Eukaryota; Metazoa; Chordata; Actinopteri; Salmoniformes; Salmonidae. The record is from RNAcentral.
AUUUAGUACUGGUAGGAGAAGGACGACGAAAUGAUGGCGACCGCCGCAGAAGAAAUAUUUCAAAGCCCAUGUCCCAUUUCUGAGCGCCAUGUCACGACUAUGUCCAUCAAAAUUACGCGGAAAAACCAGGAUAAACCCUGGAAAUUGAGAUUAAUUUACCUGCAGUGCUAUUUUAUGUCAAUUGCAACCAUACUGGGAACUGGAAUCUUAGGACUUCCUGUCACAAUAGCACAUGCAGGACUCAUGCCUUUCCUGGUCUCCUUUAUAAUUGGUUUCUUUGUGCAGGCUCUCCUCAUAUACCUCUUUGUUGACCUGCUCCAGCGAUGCCAAGUUGUCCAGAUUGAGUCAUUGAAGACUACUGAGACAGAGCGAAUUCUAAUGCAAGACGUUGGAUUGGAGGAGCCUGCUCUCACUAAUACAGAGGAGGAAGAAGAGGAGGUGGAGGAUGGGGAAGAAGCAGUCUGAACAUCCAGGAACCAACCACAGUUCGGUAAAGGAGUUGAUUUGCCCACAUGUAGUGCUGCAUUGCAUUCUGCUUUGUCAGUCAUGGGCUUAUCUCCAGGGGUUUCCGGACCUCACCAUCACAUAAUGCUUGUUAAUCGUGCCCAGCUGUUGGAAAUUGGUGCGGAUCCAGAUUGUUUGAUACUCUCCUUUGAGAUUGCAUUUCUGCUGUGAAGCCCAAAUAACAUUAGUGAAAAUGACAUUUUCAUAAACAGUAUUCUGCAAGUGGAGGAAUAUCCUGACUUGCGUCAUCAUUAACCUACCUAGUAGGAUAGCAGUUUUCUCUGAUCCCAGAUGUUAGCUGAGAUUCUCCCUUUAACAAUCAGUCUAAUAGUGUUAAAUGUAAC